CCUACGGGUGGCAGCAGUGAGGAAUAUUGGUCAAUGGACGAGAGUCUGAACCAGCCAAGUAGCGUGAAGGAUGACUGCCCUAUGGGUUGUAAACUUCUUUUAUAUGGGAAUAAAACGUUCCAAGUGUGGGAUUUUGUAUGUACCAUAUGAAUAAGGAUCGGCUAACUCCGUGCCAGCAGCCGCGGUAAUACGGAGGAUCCGAGCGUUAUCCGGAUUUAUUGGGUUUAAAGGGAGCGUAGGUGGAUUGUUAAGUCAGUUGUGAAAGUUUGCGGCUCAACCGUAAAAUUGCAGUUGAAACUGGCAGUCUUGAGUACAGUAGAGGUGGGCGGAAUUCGUGGUGUAGCGGUGAAAUGCGUAGAUAUCACGAAGAACUCCGAUUGCGAAGGCAGUUCACUGGACUGCAACUGACACUGAGGCUCGAAAGUGUGGGUAUCAAACAGGAUUAGAUACCCUGGUAGUC
Molecule: ribosomal RNA, 460 nt
Filed under: uncultured bacterium
Lineage: Bacteria
Description: partial 16S ribosomal RNA
Rfam family: Bacterial small subunit ribosomal RNA
Source: RNAcentral